RNAcentral lists this ribosomal RNA (253 nucleotides) under uncultured bacterium. Its description in RNAcentral is "partial 16S ribosomal RNA". It matches the Rfam family "Bacterial small subunit ribosomal RNA", at positions 524 to 776 of the family's 1533-position model. The record is from RNAcentral.
UACGGAGGGUGCGAGCGUUGUCCGGAAUCAUUGGGCGUAAAGGGUGCGUAGGUGGCGCGCUAAGUCAGGUGUGAAAUUUCGGAGCUUAACUCCGAAACUGCAUUUGAUACUGGCGUGCUUGAGGACUGGAGAGGAGACUGGAAUUCACGGUGUAGCAGUGAAAUGCGUAGAUAUCGUGAGGAAGACCAGUGGCGAAGGCGGGUCUCUGGACAGUUCCUGACACUGAGGCACGAAGGCCAGGGGAGCAAACGGG